CAAAUGGUUAACAUACUGGCACAUCCCCACUAAAGCAAUAAGAGAAGAGUAGCCUAUGCUCUUCUGUUCCCUUACCUCAAGGAUCCAUAUACCAAGAAAGGCUAUAAACAUUUCUAUGAUGCUGCAAGCAGCACAGGAUACAUUUCUUGG
Cottoperca gobio is the source of this 150-nucleotide long non-coding RNA. RefSeq lists it as uncharacterized. Lineage: Eukaryota; Metazoa; Chordata; Actinopteri; Perciformes; Bovichtidae. The transcript has 3 exons. The record is from RefSeq and is a predicted model, not a curated record.